Molecule: ribosomal RNA, 261 nt
Filed under: uncultured Ochrobactrum sp.
Lineage: Bacteria; Pseudomonadati; Pseudomonadota; Alphaproteobacteria; Hyphomicrobiales; Brucellaceae
Description: partial 16S ribosomal RNA
Rfam family: Bacterial small subunit ribosomal RNA
Source: RNAcentral
CGAGCGCCCGCAAGGGGAGCGGCAGACGGGUGAGUAACGCGUGGGAACGUACCUUUUGCUACGGAAUAACUCAGGGAAACUUGUGCUAAUACCGUAUGUGCCCUUCGGGGAAAGAUUUAUCGGCAAAGGAUCGGCCCGCGUUGGAUUAGCUAGUUGGUGAGGUAAAGGCUCACCAAGGCGACGAUCCAUAGCUGGUCUGAGAGGAUGAUCAGCCACACUGGGACUGAGACACGGCCCAAACUCCUACGGGAGGCAGCAGCU